RNAcentral lists this ribosomal RNA (497 nucleotides) under uncultured bacterium. RNAcentral's name for it is "partial 16S ribosomal RNA". It matches the Rfam family "Bacterial small subunit ribosomal RNA", at positions 28 to 507 of the family's 1533-position model. The record is from RNAcentral.
GAUGAACGCUGGCGGCGUGCCUAAUACAUGCAAGUCGAGCGAACAGACGAGGAGCUUGCUCCUCUGACGUUAGCGGCGGACGGGUGAGUAACACGUGGAUAACCUACCUAUAAGACUGGGAUAACUUCGGGAAACCGGAGCUAAUACCGGAUAAUAUAUUGAACCGCAUGGUUCAAUAGUGAAAGACGGUUUUGCUGUCACUUAUAGAUGGAUCCGCGCCGCAUUAGCUAGUUGGUAAGGUAACGGCUUACCAAAGCAACGAUGCGUAGCCGACCUGAGAGGGUGAUCGGCCACACUGGAACUGAGCCACGGUCCAGACUCCUACGGGAGGCAGCAGUAGGGAAUCUUCCGCAAUGGGCGAAAGCCUGACGGAGCAACGCCGCGUGAGUGAUGAAGGUCUUCGGAUCGUAAAACUCUGUUAUUAGGGAAGAACAAAUGUGUAAGUAACUAUGCACGUCUUGACGGUACCUAAUCAGAAAGCCACGGCUAACUACGUG